Molecule: ribosomal RNA, 468 nt
Filed under: uncultured bacterium
Lineage: Bacteria
Description: partial 16S ribosomal RNA
Rfam family: Bacterial small subunit ribosomal RNA
Source: RNAcentral
GACGAACGCUGGCGGCGUGCUUAACACAUGCAAGUCGAACGGAAAGGCCCUGCUUUGGUGGGUUGCUCGAGUGGCGAACGGGUGAGUAACACGUGAGUAACCUGCCAUUGACUUUGGGAUAACGUCAGGAAACUGUGAUUACUACCGGAUAUGAUCUCCUGCUGCAUGGGGGUGGUUGGAAAGUUUCGGCGGUUGGGGAUGGACGCCCGGCUUAUCAGCUUGUUGGUGGGGUAGUGGCUUACCAAGGCUUGGACGGUUAGCCGGCUUGAGAGGGGGACCGGCAACAUGGGGAUUGGGAUCGGGCCCAGACUCCACCGGGGGGCAGCAGUGGGGAUUAUGCAACAUGGGCGGGAACCUGAUGGAAGAAACGCGGGGGGCGGGAUGCCGGCCUUCGGGUGGUAAACCGUUUUAGCAGGGGAGGAAGCUGGAGUGACGGUAAUUGGUAAAGAAGCACCGGCUAACUACGUG